UUGGACAAAAUCUGCAAGCCAAAGACAGCCGGCGCGCCUGAGGGCGCUUAAACACAGCCAGCCGAGGCAAGGCACUUAUUUCAUCCUUUAGAACCGGGUGAGCUCGUGUCCCUGCGUCGGCAUGACGCAGGGAUUUUCUAUUCUAUCA
This is a non-coding RNA of Anaerolineaceae bacterium 4572_32.2, 148 nucleotides long. NCBI's taxonomy places the organism in Bacteria, Bacillati, Chloroflexota, Anaerolineae, Anaerolineales, Anaerolineaceae. The record is from Rfam.